GGCAACAUGCUCAGGUCUCUUACCACGCUGUGGAAGCUUUGUUCUUUCGCUCUUUGCAAUGAAUCCUGCUGCUGCUCACUCUUUGGGUCCACACUGCCUUUAUGAGCUGUAACACUCACUGUGAAGGUCCGCAGCUUCCCUCCUGAGCCAGCGAGACCAGGAACCCACCAGAAGGAAGAAACUCAGAACACAUCCCAACAUCAGAAGGAACAAACUCCAGACGCGCCACCUUAAGAGCUGUAACACUCACCGCGAGGGUCUGCGGCUUCAUUCUUCAAGUCAGUGAGACCAAGAACCCACCAAUUCCGGACACACCAAGUCCUGAGUUCAGAAUUUUGUUUUUGAGAUGAACAUAAAAGCACCUAAAGGUCAAGGAAGAUGUUCUUCCUGUGAUAAGGAACACAAAGCCUGUUUGGUGGUCUCUUCACACGGAAGCGCAUGACACUUCGCUUUAGUGUAGAUGACCACUCCCCUCUGUAAGAGUCCAUUCUAAGUUGUUCUGUCAGUGAAACUCUGUUUAAAACAUGGCUUGUAUGAAGUUGUCAGGAAUCGGCUCUGACACUUGGAUGAUUCUUCAGCUGGCUAUAAAAUUCUAAAAUCAGAGUAACCGUGUAUUGACUUCCAACAUUCCACAUUUCCAAAGGUGUUUCCUGUGAUCUCUGGGAUCCUGAUCCGCACCACUCAACUUUGGCCUCCUAAACUUCAUCCUUGACCCCACCCCAGGUAGGAAGGAUGUGUGGAUAUUUCUUUUAUCUUUCUGCAACGAUGACCUUUUGGAGAAAAAGAAAGGAAGCAGGACCUCUUGACCAGAAUUUAUCCAGCACUCCAGCACGGCUUGCACGUUAUCUGGAGUAAAGAGACCUUCUGGGAUUUCAUCAGCCUCCUGUCCAUCAAGAGAGCCACAGCUAAGAACCUAGAAGGGUAGAAGCAAAAGAUUUUUUUCCUCCUGUAUAAUCCCAAUCCACUACUUAGUUCUUCCAGUUUUUGACUGACUGAAUUUUCAGUGAACUGUGUGUCUAACUGAAGCUUUGAGAGAGAGAGAGAGAGAAAGAAGGAAAAAAAGAAAAGGUUUUACUUCACUUGAACUUGUUAAAAAGGAAGAGACACAGAUCCAGCAUAGUAGAAGGAGAAAGAAAGCAGACAACAGUUUGGAAUGGAGGCAUUGAGACGGAAGAGUCCAUUGGAGAUGGAAUGUACACACAAAAAUAACAAUUUAGGUCCUUUGCUCAUGCAACAUCUUGUUCUAAUGUCCUCUGCUCCAGGUCACAACAUUGAGCUACAAAGUGUGUGCAGUGACUCCAGUCUGCAUUCAUGCUACAAGAUGAUCCGUUUAGUAAGACUGAGCAAGGCUUGUUAACCUCUUGGACGUGAGAGAUUUCCCCUGAGAAAAUAUAUAAAACAAGAGAAAAGAAAGAAAAUCAAGUACGAUCACUGAAAACCUGCUUAGUAGUAGCAACUAUUUACUGUAGCUGAUUUUUGUGCAAGGUCAACACUGAACCCUUUAAGUCCAUCUUAGUUCAAACCUCAUGACCAACCUGCCUUCCCCCCUCCCUCCCUCCACUGACACGUCAAACAAAACUAUCCUCCCUCCCUCCACCCUCCUACCCCUCCCAAAUCCUUCCUCCCCACUGCAAACAGACUGAUGGUUUCACAGCACAGAUUAGCAAAUCAUAAAACAUAUCCAUAAAUGCUCCAUCAAGGCUUAGCAAUGAAGCAACACCUAGGUUCCCAACUGAUUAUAAACAUGUUACAACAAAUCUUAGUAAGCUGCUCUGAAAGAUAAUGUGAGUGCAUUCUUGUUCAAUGGCUGAAAUUAAUGUCACAUUUAUAAAUAUCUAGAAAUGUAGAGGAUACGAUUUAAUUAAAUAAAAUGCAGUUUUUGAGGGUGUGAUUCAUGAAACUCAAGAUUGAGUCUGUUCCCUAUCUUACAUAAUAAUGGAUAAAAAGGUGCCA
Molecule: long non-coding RNA, 1953 nt
Filed under: Homo sapiens (human)
Lineage: Eukaryota; Metazoa; Chordata; Mammalia; Primates; Hominidae
Description: HSALNT0299397
Source: RNAcentral